Molecule: long non-coding RNA, 287 nt
Filed under: Physcomitrium patens
Lineage: Eukaryota; Viridiplantae; Streptophyta; Bryopsida; Funariales; Funariaceae
Description: long non-coding RNA (PPAT_LNC002732)
Source: RNAcentral
AAGCUUUUGCAAGGUUACCAGUUCGGUUUUCAUUGGAGGUUUUUGAAGAUCAAGGGGAUUAGAGAAGAGGAGCUUCAUGCUUUGGGUCGGGGAAGGAAAGACAUAGAAUUUGGAUUUUUCUUCUUCAUAGAGUUUUGAGAAGACUGAGGCAAUCGUUGCUGAAGUCAGUGUUGUAAUGGUGAAUCGAGAUUUUUAAAUGAAGUGGGUUUGAAUACUCUUGACUGUUUUGUAAAAUCGAGUUACUUCUGUGAUUGAAGGAUUAAAGGGGUGUCUAUAGGAUUGAGUAU